GGGAAGGGCAGCGAGGCGGGGAGCGCCGACCCCUCAGCUGGCCCGGGACCCCCAGCUGCUGCCGUGCCCAGCCGAGCGCGGCCCCCGCCCCUCUGCCCCUGCCCUGGCCCCGCACUCCGCUUUCAAGACCCUGGACAACGCCGCCCGGCCCGACCGCUCUCAGCCCCUGCCCUUGCCCCUCUGCCGCCCUCGGGCUCCUGAGACCCCCGGCUCCUUCCUGCGGGAGCUCCCGGAGUGGCGAGCAGCGGGGUGACUGGGACUCUGUGUCAUUCCGGAGGCUCUGCACUGCCUGAUGCUGUGUGCGCACCCCUUCAGUGCGUGCUCUUACCCGCAUCUUGAAACCGGGGAGAAUAUACCUACAGAGAAGAAGCACAUGGCAGUGGAGUUCUCGGAAUUGCCCUGUGUGCUCUGUCUCCUGUGUACCGCACUUAAGUUUCACAUAGGUCAGGAGCAUGGAGCUUUCCCUGUCUUCUGCAGCCCUGAACAGGUUCGUUUGCCUGCCAAAUAAGCCAUGGCUAGGUAUCCACAUUUCCUCCACCUCCCCCACACGUUCUGGACCCAUUUCUACAUAGAGGUUGCAAAAUAGAAGAUGUUAUCAGGAUUGAUGUGGCUGCUCCCAUCUGCUCCCCCAAAUGAUGAGGUCUGCAGUACGAUUGGAAUAAAGUCUACUCCUACAGAACCCUACAGAAACAAUCCAGGAUUCUUUUAUGCUUUUCCAGUCCUCUCUUGUUUUCUUUCCCCUCCGCCCAUACCCACCUCUCAUGGGCUACCAUCUGUGUACCCUCAGAGAGUCAACAAGAGAAGAGCAAGGGCCCGAAACCAGAACACAGGUGAAAAUAGGGAAGUGGGUCCGGCUGGGAUCCUUGGAAGUGGUGUGGGAGGUGGAAAAGACAUCCGGUAG
RNAcentral lists this long non-coding RNA (901 nucleotides) under Cyanistes caeruleus (blue tit). RNAcentral describes it as "lncRNA (ENSCCEG00000020721.1)". Lineage: Eukaryota; Metazoa; Chordata; Aves; Passeriformes; Paridae. The record is from RNAcentral.